UUCUCAUCUGUCCACCUUCUCUGUAUCCAUCACAUCAGCUGCAUUAUGACAUAACACCCUACUUGGCUCCCUACCCUUGGUCAAUCACUCUCCAGUCCCUCCAUCACCCAGCUGCCAGUAAUAUCCUAAAGAAUAUAUCUUGAGGAAAGUACCUAUCUUUCCUCUGGCUUGUUUAUAUUGGCAGAGGGGCAAUGGCAGGCACAUACAUCUUAUCUUGAUAAAAGAACCCCAAGGAUUCUAAGAAAUGAGAAGG
Molecule: long non-coding RNA, 253 nt
Organism: Sarcophilus harrisii (Tasmanian devil)
Lineage: Eukaryota; Metazoa; Chordata; Mammalia; Dasyuromorphia; Dasyuridae
Exons: 2
Source: RefSeq, a predicted model, not a curated record